This 437-nucleotide ribosomal RNA is filed under the name uncultured bacterium. RNAcentral's name for it is "bacterial SSU rRNA". It matches the Rfam family "Bacterial small subunit ribosomal RNA", at positions 29 to 511 of the family's 1533-position model. The record is from RNAcentral.
AGCGAACGCUGGCGGCAGGCCUAACACAUGCAAGUCGAACGGACCCUUCGGGGUUAGUGGCGGACGGGUGAGUAACACGUGGGAACGUGCCUUUAGGUUCGGAAUAGCUCCUGGAAACGGGUGGUAAUGCCGAAUGUGCCCUUCGGGGGAAAGAUUUAUCGCCUUUAGAGCGGCCCGCGUCUGAUUAGCUAGUUGGUGAGGUAAUGGCUCACCAAGGCGACGAUCAGUAGCUGGUCUGAGAGGAUGACCAGCCACAUUGGGACUGAGACACGGCCCAAACUCCUACGGGAGGCAGCAGUGGGGAAUCUUGCGCAAUGGGCGAAAGCCUGACGCAGCCAUGCCGCGUGAAUGAUGAAGGUCUUAGGAUUGUAAAAUUCUUUCACCGGGGACGAUAAUGACGGUACCCGGAGAAGAAGCCCCGGCUAACUUCGUGCCAG